AAUGAUUGAUAGGUAGAGUUGGGGGUGCUAGUAUUCAGCGGCCAGAGGUGAAAUUCUCGGAUUUGCUGAAGACUAACUUAUGCGAAAGCAUCCACCAAGGAUGUCUUCUUUAAUCAAGAACGAAAGUUGGGGUCUAGAAGACGAUCGAAUACCUUCGUAGUCUCAACCAUAAACUAUGCCGAUAAGCGAUUCUUGAACUUUCACUUCU
Molecule: ribosomal RNA, 208 nt
Filed under: uncultured flagellate
Lineage: Eukaryota
Description: partial 18S ribosomal RNA
Rfam family: Eukaryotic small subunit ribosomal RNA
Source: RNAcentral